CCCAGCUGUAGGCAAUGGCCUAGGUUGCAUUGUACCUAGGCAAGUGUUACACUGCUGGAGAAAAGCAGCUAAUAGCUGGCGGGCAUCUUGGGCCUGGUUAAUGCCAAAUUUGUGUUAACUAUACUAGUGUGCCAGCAUAGU
Molecule: small nucleolar RNA, 141 nt
Filed under: Ochotona princeps (American pika)
Lineage: Eukaryota; Metazoa; Chordata; Mammalia; Lagomorpha; Ochotonidae
Description: Small nucleolar RNA SNORA74 (ENSOPRG00000023507.1)
Source: RNAcentral